CCUACGGGAGGCAGCAGUGGGGAAUAUUGGGCAAUGGGCGCAAGCCUGACCCAGCAACGCCGCGUGAAGGAAGAAGGCCCUCGGGUUGUAAACUUCUUUUAUUCGGGACGAAACAAAUGACGGUACCGAAUGACUAAGCCACGGCUAACUACGUGCCAGCAGCCGCGGUAAUACGUAGGUGGCAAGCGUUAUCCGGAUUUACUGGGUGUAAAGGUCGGGUAGGCGGGAGGGCAAGUCAGACGUGAAAUUCCAGGGCUCAACCCUGGAACUGCGUUUGAAACUGUUCUUCUUGAGUGAAGGAGAGGCAGGCGGAAUGCCGGGUGUAGCGGUGAAAUGCGUAGAUAUACGGAGGAACACCAGUGGCGAAGGCGGCCUGCUGGACAUUAACUGACGCUGAGGCGCGAAAGCGUGGGGAGCAAACAGGAUUAGAUACCCGGGUAGUC
RNAcentral lists this ribosomal RNA (443 nucleotides) under uncultured bacterium. Its description in RNAcentral is "partial 16S ribosomal RNA". It matches the Rfam family "Bacterial small subunit ribosomal RNA", at positions 338 to 795 of the family's 1533-position model. The record is from RNAcentral.